ACGGGGCGCAGCAGGCGCGAAACCUCCGCAAUGCGGGAAACCGCGACGGGGUCAGCCGGAGUGCUCGCGCAUCGCGCGGGCUGUCGGGGUGCCUAAAAAGCACCCCACAGCAAAGGGCCGGGCAAGGCCGGUGGCAGCCGCCGCGGUAAUACCGGCGGCCCGAGUGGCGGCCACUUUUAUUGGGCCUAAAGCGUCCGUAGCCGGGCUGGUAAGUCCUCCGGGAAAUCUGGCGGCUUAACCGUCAGACUGCCGGAGGAUACUGCCAGCCUAGGGACCGGGAGAGGCCGGGGGUAUUCCCGGAGUAGGGGUGAAAUCCUGUAAUCCCGGGAGGACCACCUGUGGCGAAGGCGCCCGGCUGGAACGGGUCCGACGGUGAGGGACGAAGGCCAGGGGAGCGAACCGGAUUAGAUACCCGGGUAGUCCUGGCUGUAAACGAUGCGGACUAGGUGUCACCGAAGCUACGAGCUUCGGUGGUGCCGGAGGGAAGCCGUUAAGUCCGCCGCCUGGGGAGUACGGCCGCAAGGCUGAAACUUAAAGGAAUUGGCGGGGGAGCAC
Molecule: ribosomal RNA, 555 nt
Filed under: uncultured archaeon
Lineage: Archaea
Description: bacterial SSU rRNA
Rfam family: Archaeal small subunit ribosomal RNA
Source: RNAcentral